AGCGAACGCUGGCGGCAGGCUUAACACAUGCAAGUCGAGCGGAUGUAGCAAUACAUCAGCGGCAGACGGGUGAGUAACACGUGGGAACGUACCUUUUGGUUCGGAACAACACAGGGAAACUUGUGCUAAUACCGGAUAAGCCCUUACGGGGAAAGAUUUAUCGCCGAAAGAUCGGCCCGCGUCUGAUUAGCUAGUUGGUGAGGUAAUGGCUCACCAAGGCGACGAUCAGUAGCUGGUCUGAGAGGAUGAUCAGCCACAUUGGGACUGAGACACGGCCCAAACUCCUACGGGAGGCAGCAGUGGGGAAUAUUGGACAAUGGGCGCAAGCCUGAUCCAGCCAUGCCGCGUGAGUGAUGAAGGCCCUAGGGUUGUAAAGCUCUUUUGUGCGGGAAGAUAAUGACGGUACCGCAAG
Molecule: ribosomal RNA, 412 nt
Filed under: Bradyrhizobiaceae bacterium Ellin7238
Lineage: Bacteria; Pseudomonadati; Pseudomonadota; Alphaproteobacteria; Hyphomicrobiales; Nitrobacteraceae
Description: bacterial SSU rRNA
Rfam family: Bacterial small subunit ribosomal RNA
Source: RNAcentral